GACGAACGCUGGCGGCGUGCUUAACCAAUGCAAGUCGACGGAAAAGGCCUUGUUUUGGUGGGUUCCUGAGGUGCGAACGGGGGGAUAACACGUGAGUUACCUACCCCUUGCUUUUGGGUAACUUUAAGAAACUUGGGCUAAUACCGGGAAAGAGCUCCUGGUGCAUGGGUGGGGUUGGGAAGGUUCAGCGGGUGGGGAUGGGCUCGCGGCUUGUUGGCGUGUUGGUGGGGGUGUGGCUUACCAAGGGUUUGACGGGUAGCCGGCCUGAGAGGGGGACCGGGCACAUUGGGACUGAGAUACGGCCCAGAGUCCUACGGGAGGCAGCAGUGGGGAAUAUUGCACAAUGGGCGGAAGCCUGAUGCAGCAACGCCGCGUGCGGGAUGACGGCCUUCGGGUUGUAAACCGCUUUCGCCUGUGACGAAGCGUGAGUGACGGUAAUGGGUAAAGAAGCACCGGCUAACUACGUG
RNAcentral lists this ribosomal RNA (467 nucleotides) under uncultured bacterium. RNAcentral's name for it is "partial 16S ribosomal RNA". It matches the Rfam family "Bacterial small subunit ribosomal RNA", at positions 28 to 507 of the family's 1533-position model. The record is from RNAcentral.